CCUACGGGGGGCAGCAGUGGGGAAUAUUGGGCAAUGGGCGCAAGCCUGACCCAGCAACGCCGCGUGAAGGAAGAAGGCUUUCGGGUUGUAAACUUCUUUUCUCAGGGACGAAGCAAGUGACGGUACCUGAGGAAUAAGCCACGGCUAACUACGUGCCAGCAGCCGCGGUAAUAUGUAGGUGGCAAGCGUUAUCCGGAUUUACUGGGUGUAAAGGGCGUGUAGGCGGGAAAGCAAGUCAGAUGUGAAAACCAUGGGCUCAACCUGUGGACUGCAUUUGAAACUGUUUUUCUUGAGUACUGGAGAGGCAGACGGAAGUCCUAGUGUAGCGGUGAAAUGCGGAGAUAUUAGGAGGAACACCAGUGGCGAAGGCGGUCUGCUGGACAGCAACUGACGCUGAGGCGCGAAAGCGUGGGGAGCAAACAGGAUUAGAUACCCGUGUAGUC
Molecule: ribosomal RNA, 443 nt
Filed under: uncultured bacterium
Lineage: Bacteria
Description: partial 16S ribosomal RNA
Rfam family: Bacterial small subunit ribosomal RNA
Source: RNAcentral